RNAcentral lists this ribosomal RNA (349 nucleotides) under uncultured bacterium. Its description in RNAcentral is "bacterial SSU rRNA". It matches the Rfam family "Bacterial small subunit ribosomal RNA", at positions 76 to 422 of the family's 1533-position model. The record is from RNAcentral.
GAAAGCUUUCGGGUGAGUACUAGUGGCGCACGGGUGAGUAACGCGUGGAUAAUCUGCCUUUGAGUGGGGGAUAACUAGUCGAAAGAUUAGCUAAUACCGCAUAAGACCACAGGAACUGAGGUUCUAGGGGUUAAAGGUUUUUCGCUCAUAGAUGAGUCCGCGUGAGAUUAGCUAGUUGGUAAGGUAACGGCUCACCAAGGCGACGAUCUCUAACUGGUCUGAGAGGAUGAUCAGUCACACUGGAACUGAGACACGGUCCAGACUCCUACGGGAGGCAGCAGUAGGGAAUAUUGCACAAUGGAGGCAACUCUGAUGCAGCGACGCCGCGUGAGUGAUGAAGGCCUUCGGG